AACAGGCUUCUUCUCCAUACACAGAAAGAUUUUGAUACCGAACAUAUAUAUAUAUAUAUAUAUAUAUAUAUAUAUGGUAAAAAUAGAGGUACACAGCCCGUGUAAUUUUUAAAAUUACACGGUCUACGAUCGUAGAGUGAUUACGAUCGUACUCUACGAUCGAAUUCACUCUAUAAUUGUAGAGUAGUCCACGAUCGUAGAGUGAAUUCACAAAUUGUGGAGUGACUACUCUACGAUCGUAGAGUGAAAUCACUCUAUAAUCGUAGACCGUAUAAUUUUAAAAAUUACACGGCUGUGUACCUCCGUAUUCGCCUAUAUAUAUAUAUAUAUUUAGAGAGAGAGAGAGAGAGAGGGGA
This 356-nucleotide long non-coding RNA is filed under the name Panax ginseng (ginseng). Its description in RNAcentral is "long non-coding RNA (PGIN_LNC012534)". The record is from RNAcentral. Lineage: Eukaryota; Viridiplantae; Streptophyta; Magnoliopsida; Apiales; Araliaceae.